RNAcentral lists this ribosomal RNA (371 nucleotides) under uncultured organism. RNAcentral's name for it is "bacterial SSU rRNA". It matches the Rfam family "Bacterial small subunit ribosomal RNA", at positions 526 to 896 of the family's 1533-position model. The record is from RNAcentral.
CGGGGGGGGUAAGCGUUGUUCGGAAUUACUGGGCGUAAAGGGUUUGUAGGUGGCUUGCUAAGUCAGACGUGAAAUCCCUCAGCUUAACUGGGGAACUGCGUCUGAUACUGGCGAGCUUGAGUGCAGGAGAGGAACGCGGAAUUCCAGGUGUAGCGGUGAAAUGCGUAGAUAUCUGGAGGAACACCGGUGGCGAAGGCGGCGUUCUGGACUGCAACUGACACUGAAAAACGAAGCCAGGGGAGCAAACGGGAUUAGAUACCCCGGUAGUCCUGGCCCUAAACGAUGAAUGCUUGGUGUGGCGGGUAUCGAUCCCUGCCGUGCCGAAGUUAACGCGUUAAGCAUUCCGCCUGGGGAGUACGGUCGCAAGGCUG